UGGGGAAUAUUGGACAAUGGGCGCAAGCCUGAUCCAGCCAUGCCGCGUGGAUGAUGAAGGCCUUAGGGUUGUAAAAUCCUUUCGUUGGGGACGAUAAUGACGGUACCCAAAGAAGCAGCCACGGCUAACUUCGUGCCAGCAGCCGCGGUAAUACGAAGGUGGCAAGCGUUGUUCGGAUUCACUGGGCGUACAGCGCACGUAGGCGGAUUGUUAAGUCAGAGGUGAAACUCCCGGAGCUCAACUUCGGAACUGCCUUUGAUACUGGCAAUCUAGAGUCCGGAAGAGGUUAGUGGAAUUCCCAGUGUAGAGGUGAAAUUCGUAGAUAUUGGGAAGAACACCAGUGGCGAAGGCGGCUAACUGGUCCGGUACUGACGCUGAGGUGCGAAAGCGUGGGGAGCAAACAGGAUUAGAU
RNAcentral lists this ribosomal RNA (412 nucleotides) under uncultured bacterium. RNAcentral describes it as "bacterial SSU rRNA". It matches the Rfam family "Bacterial small subunit ribosomal RNA", at positions 355 to 783 of the family's 1533-position model. The record is from RNAcentral.